Molecule: long non-coding RNA, 2304 nt
Organism: Panthera uncia (snow leopard)
Lineage: Eukaryota; Metazoa; Chordata; Mammalia; Carnivora; Felidae
Exons: 2
Source: RefSeq, a predicted model, not a curated record
GACUCUCAGCUUCGACUGAGGCCGAGCAGACGUCCCAGUUCCAGGUUUCCGGGCCACACUCCUCCAACCACGGCCAUACCUUUCACACGAGGAACAGAGAGAGGCUGGGAAUUCAGUGGACUUUGGGAUUCUGUAACCCGCACCGAUAAACUUGUGUUUCAUUUUCACCACGAGGAACCCUUGCAGGUACGGAAGGAAGGGAAUUUUUAGGGCUGUCGGGGGAGUUCUGUGCGUGUCGUGCUGUGACUGGAGCUGAGAGGUGAGGAACUAAAGUUGCCAUUGUUUUCUCUGCGCGCUCCGGGAUCACCACACCACGGUCUUCAGAGCCGUCCUGUCCUUACCGCCGUGACAGUACAGCAGCCACGCCGGCUCCUCAGGGCUUCCCGCAGGUGGCCCUUCAUCCCGGUUCACUGCAGGUGACAGCCUGAUGAAGGAAGAGGUCCCCGCAGAGCACGGGUGCUACGUACGCGCCCAGUUCCCAUUGGCAGGGAGCCCGAGCCCUGCCCUGGGGCCCAAGGGCGCGACCACACCCAUCCCCACAUCCCCACUUGGCGGGCCCCUCUUCUGAGAGCACUCCCAGGUCCGACUCUGUAGCAGUCGGGCAGGAGAAGGAGACGAGAAAUAGACACGGUUUCUCAGCAGACGAAAUCGAAUACGAGCAUUUGGUGGCUCAGGGCCCGGAGGGCCGAAGAAACAGAUCGUAUGGCAGAAAGCUGCCGUCCCUAAGGCGAGGGGAAGCGGGGAAGAGGUCGGGCUGAGCAGACACCUAGACGCCAGGAUGAGGGGCCUGGAAGAGGCAGAGCCUGGAUCUCUGAGGAGGGGCUGCCACAAUUUCUCAGGGAAGGCGGAAGCAACCUUAUCCACCACGAGGGGAUAUGGGGCAGGAGAUGAUUUCUGAGGACCAUCUUCCAGGCCAUUGAAGACUUGGGGAGGUGGAGUAGCUUUCUCUCACAAUAACGCAAACAACGCGUAGAUAUCCACGAGCGCCACUCUCUGAUCUCCUGAGAAAUCAAAGGUAAUGCCAGUCUGGGUUUUGAAGUCCCGUCCCCCCCCCCCCCCCCGCCCUGCCCCGGUUAAGCACAAGAGGGGAAGGCGGCUCUCUUUCUCACCCUGCCCCCUUUGCUGUGUGCUGGCCCGAGGAGGCUUCCGUGGGGGAUGGCCACCUGGGCUCACCUCUCAAGCCUCCAGGACAUGCUGAGUGUGCCACACGUUCCCCGGGGACCUCCAAGUGAGGGAGCGAACCGCGCCGUAGAGCACAGCCCCACAGAAGGGGAUCUGGCUUGAGCCCGACGUCCUUGAUCCACACCCCGCCUGGGCCACUUGCCAGCUAGUGGUGCGGAAGAAGCCGUGAAUGGGGAUCACGCCGCGAACAGGCUGCUAGGGCUGCGGGAUGGGAGGAGCCGAGGCACACCGCAAGCACGCAAGGCCAUGACCGCAAAUGAUGUCCUCUGGCCUCUGAGAGUUGCACCCUGGGAAGGUCCACAGGGCCAGUCCUGUCUUCGACAGGCCUGCCGGUUCUCCACCAAGGUGGGCCGUGUCUUCAAGUCGAGGUUGCUGACACGUGUCCCGCUGGGCCUCUGGGGGUCCUGGGCCGGAAGCCUGGGGUGAGCUACCCUUCCAGGGAGGGUGGAUGUGCUCGGCCGGCCCGGAGCCCAGCAGUACCACGACGGUGCAGGGGGAGCGGGGAGCGGUUCCUCUCUCAGCCUGCAGCUAGGGGUGGGGGGAAGGCAGCCCCUCCCUGUUCGCAGCUGCUAGGACUGGAGUCAGGGGGGCGUUGGUCCCCGCUCCCUCAGACCCACUUCUCCUGAUAGCACCAUCCUGCCUUUGUGCCGCGGGGGUCACCCUUCACCAACACGGGUUUUAGGUGGGGUCUCGGUUCUGCCCUCUGACCUUCUGAAAGCCAUUUGCUCCUGGCACCUGGGAACCCCACCCCGGGAGCUCCUCCCCACCCCGGGAGCUCCUCCCUACCCCGGGAGCUCCUCCCCACGGCCCUAGCGCAUCCCUGCUCACCCACCCCUGACUUUGCAUUUGCUCUGCGUCCUCUUCCCCGGGAUUUCUCUUGCUUACCCGCGCGCAACCUAUGCGUGUUUCUCAUUCCGUAUUCGCUGGACUGGCAUCCCUGGAGGGCAGAGGCUGGCUGUCAGAGUGGCACCGCCCCCAGCCCCCAGCCUAGGCAGCACUGCAUCAUGUGACCGGCGCCCAGGGCCACAGCCAUUGGCCCAGCGGGUCAACCUACCAGCCCGGGUCACCGAGGACUUGGCAACAGGCUCACCAAUGCCACCCCGAGUCUCCUUACUGUCAUCA